This 68-nucleotide ribosomal RNA is filed under the name Planomicrobium soli. Its description in RNAcentral is "partial 23S ribosomal RNA". Lineage: Bacteria; Bacillati; Bacillota; Bacilli; Caryophanales; Caryophanaceae. The record is from RNAcentral.
AUAGGUUCGAGGUGGACGCGUGGCGACAUGUGCAGCUGACGAAUACUAAUCGAUCGAGGACUUAACCA